Molecule: ribosomal RNA, 844 nt
Filed under: uncultured eukaryote
Lineage: Eukaryota
Description: bacterial SSU rRNA
Rfam family: Eukaryotic small subunit ribosomal RNA
Source: RNAcentral
GGCAAAUUAGCUGAUGCAGUUAAAGCUCGUAGUUGGAUUUUGGUUAAGAGGGCGCGGUCGACCGUUUGGUCUGUACUGCGUUGUCUUGACUUCCUGAUGAGGACAUGCUCUUGGUUAACGCUGAGACAUGGAGUCAUCGUGGUUACUUUGAAAAAAUUAGAGUGUUCAAAGCGGGCUUACGCUUGAAUAUAUUAGCAUGGAAUAACACUAUAGGACUCCUGUCCUAUCUCGUUGGUCUCGGGAUGGGAGUAAUGAUUAAGAGGAACAGUUGGGGGCAUUCGUAUUUCAUUGUCAGAGGUGAAAUUCUUGGAUUUAUGAAAGACGAACUUCUGCGAAAGCAUUUGCCAAGGAUGUUUUCAUUAAUCAAGAACGAAAGUUGGGGGCUCGAAGAUGAUUAGAUACCGCCCUAGUUCUAACCAUAAACGAUGCCAGCUAGCGAUCUGCUGACGUUUUUACUGUAGACUCAGCAGGAAGCUUCCGGGAAACCAAAGCAUUUGGGUUCCAGGGGAAGUAUGGUUGCAAAGCUGAAACUUAAAGGAAUUGACGGAAGGGCACCACCAGGAGUGGAGCCUGUGGCUUAAUUUGACUCAACACGGGAAAUCUCACCAGGCCCGGACACUGGAAGGAUUGACAGAUUGAUAGCUCUUUCUUGAUUCGGUGGGUGGUGGUGCAUGGCCGUUCUUAGUUGGUGGAGUGAUUUGUCUGGUUAAUUCCGAUAACGAACGAGGCUCUGUCCUGCUAAAUAGUGUUAUCUUCUUUUUUGAGAUGACAAUUCUUCUUAGAGGGACUGGCAACUCUUAGUUGCACGAGAUUGAGCAAUAACAGGUCUGUGAUGCCCUUAGAU